UUUACACUUUCAGGAAGGAUUCGUGAACCAAGAGGGACUAUAGAAGGAGAUUGAGCUUGGAAAUGUAAGGUUUGAUGAAGAAACCAAAAUCAAAAGUCUGCAAUGUGAGAAUUGAUGAUGG
Molecule: non-coding RNA, 121 nt
Organism: Cucurbita pepo subsp. pepo (vegetable marrow)
Lineage: Eukaryota; Viridiplantae; Streptophyta; Magnoliopsida; Cucurbitales; Cucurbitaceae
Source: RefSeq, a predicted model, not a curated record